AGAGGGAACCCGGUGGGAAUCCGGGACUGUCCCGCAGCGGUAUGCAGGAACGACCGCCGUCAUCAGCACUGGCCCGCAGGAAUCUGCGGCUGGGAAGCGACGGCCAGUAGGAGCACGGAUUGCGUGCGCGCCUGUGAGUCCGAAGACCU
This 149-nucleotide unclassified non-coding RNA is filed under the name Mycolicibacterium neworleansense. The record is from RNAcentral. Lineage: Bacteria; Bacillati; Actinomycetota; Actinomycetes; Mycobacteriales; Mycobacteriaceae.